Molecule: ribosomal RNA, 1067 nt
Filed under: Shigella sonnei
Lineage: Bacteria; Pseudomonadati; Pseudomonadota; Gammaproteobacteria; Enterobacterales; Enterobacteriaceae
Description: partial 23S ribosomal RNA
Rfam family: Bacterial large subunit ribosomal RNA
Source: RNAcentral
UAACCGGCGAUUUCCGAAUGGGGAAACCCAGUGUGAUUCGUCACACUAUCAUUAACUGAAUCCAUAGGUUAAUGAGGCGAACCGGGGGAACUGAAACAUCUAAGUACCCCGAGGAAAAGAAAUCAACCGAGAUUCCCCCAGUAGCGGCGAGCGAACGGGGAGCAGCCCAGAGCCUGAAUCAGUGUGUGUGUUAGUGGAAGCGUCUGGAAAGGCGCGCGAUACAGGGUGACAGCCCCGUACACAAAAAUGCACAUAUUGUGAGCUCGAUGAGUAGGGCGGGACACGUGGUAUCCUGUCUGAAUAUGGGGGGCCCAUCCUCCAAGGCUAAAUACUCCUGACUGACCGAUAGUGAACCAGUACCGUGAGGGAAAGGCGAAAAGAACCCCGGCGAGGGGAGUGAAAAAGAACCUGAAACCGUGUACGUACAAGCAGUGGGAGCACGCUUAGGCGUGUGACUGCGUACCUUUUGUAUAAUGGGUCAGCGACUUAUAUUCUGUAGCAAGGUUAACCGAAUAGGGGAGCCGAAGGGAAACCGAGUCUUAACUGGGCGUUAAGUUGCAGGGUAUAGACCCGAAACCCGGUGAUCUAGCCAUGGGCAGGUUGAAGGUUGGGUAACACUAACUGGAGGACCGAACCGACUAAUGUUGAAAAAUUAGCGGAUGACUUGUGGCUGGGGGUGAAAGGCCAAUCAAACCGGGAGAUAGCUGGUUCUCCCCGAAAGCUAUUUAGGUAGCGCCUCGUGAAUUCAUCUCCGGGGGUAGAGCACUGUUUCGGCAAGGGGGUCAUCCCGACUUACCAACCCGAUGCAAACUGCGAAUACCGGAGAAUGUUAUCACGGGAGACACACGGCGGGUGCUAACGUCCGUCGUGAAGAGGGAAACAACCCAGACCGCCAGCUAAGGUCCCAAAGUCAUGGUUAAGUGGGAAACGAUGUGGGAAGGCCCAGACAGCCAGGAUGUUGGCUUAGAAGCAGCCAUCAUUUAAAGAAAGCGUAAUAGCUCACUGGUCGAGUCGGCCUGCGCGGAAGAUGUAACGGGGCUAAACCAUGCACCGAAGCUGCGGCAGCG